RNAcentral lists this ribosomal RNA (253 nucleotides) under uncultured bacterium. RNAcentral describes it as "partial 16S ribosomal RNA". It matches the Rfam family "Bacterial small subunit ribosomal RNA", at positions 524 to 776 of the family's 1533-position model. The record is from RNAcentral.
UACAGAGGUCUCAAGCGUUGUUCGGAUUCAUUGGGCGUAAAGGGUGUGUAGGUGGCGCGCUAAGUCGGGUGUGAAAUUUCGGAGGUUAACUCCGAAACUGCAUUCGAUACUGGCGUGCUUGAGGACUGGAGAGGAGACUGGAAUUCAUGGUGUAGCAGUGAAAAGCGUAGAGAUCAUGAGGAAGACCAGUGGCGAAGGCGGGUCUCUGGACAGUUCCUGACACUGAGACACGAAGGCCAGGGGAGCAACCGGG